Molecule: small nuclear RNA, 107 nt
Organism: Otolemur garnettii (small-eared galago)
Lineage: Eukaryota; Metazoa; Chordata; Mammalia; Primates; Galagidae
Source: Ensembl
GUGCUCACUUUGGCAGCACAUAUACUAAAAUUGGAAUGAUACAGAGAAGAUUAGCAUGGCCCCUGUGCAAGGAUGACACGUAAAUUCGUGAAGCAUGCCAUUAAAAA